Molecule: ribosomal RNA, 638 nt
Filed under: Pleurotus eryngii var. eryngii
Lineage: Eukaryota; Fungi; Basidiomycota; Agaricomycetes; Agaricales; Pleurotaceae
Description: eukaryotic LSU rRNA
Rfam family: 5.8S ribosomal RNA (bases 245-398)
Source: RNAcentral
AAGGAUCAUUAAUGAAUUCACUAUGGAGUUGUUGCUGGCCUCUAGGGGMAUGUGCACGCUUCACUAGUCUUUCAACCACCUGUGAACUUUUGAUAGAUCUGUGAAGUCGUCUCUCAAGUCGUUAGACUUGGUUUGCUGGGAUGUAAACGUCUCGGUGUGACUACGCAGUCUAUUUACUUAUAACACCCCAAAUGUAUGUCUACGAAUGUCAUUUAAAGGGCCUUGUGCCUAUAAACCAUAAUACAACUUUCAACAACGGAUCUCUUGGCUCUCGCAUCGAUGAAGAACGCAGCGAAAUGCGAUAAGUAAUGUGAAUUGCAGAAUUCAGUGAAUCAUCGAAUCUUUGAACGCACCUUGCGCCCCUUGGUAUUCCGAGGGGCAUGCCUGUUUGAGUGUCAUUAAAUUCUCAAACUCACUCUGGUUUUUCCAAUUGUGAUGUUUGGAUUGUUGGGGGCUGCUGGCCUUGACAGGUCGGCUCCUCUUAAAUGCAUUAGCAGGACUUCUCAUUGCCUCUGCGCAUGAUGUGAUAAYUAUCACUCAUCAAUAGCACGCAUGAAUAGAGUYUGGCUCUCUAACCGUCCGCAAGGACAAUUUGACAAUUUGACCUCAAAUCAGGUAGGACUACCCGCUGAACUUAA